Molecule: ribosomal RNA, 458 nt
Filed under: uncultured Thermus sp.
Lineage: Bacteria; Thermotogati; Deinococcota; Deinococci; Thermales; Thermaceae
Description: bacterial SSU rRNA
Rfam family: Bacterial small subunit ribosomal RNA
Source: RNAcentral
UUCCUACGGGGGGCUGCAGUUAGGAAUCUUCCGCAAUGGACGGAAGUCUGACGGAGCGACGCCGCUUGGAGGAGGAAGCCCUUCGGGGUGUAAACUCCUGAACUGGGGACGAAAGCCCUGUGUAGGGGGAUGACGGUACCCAGGUAAUAGCGCCGGCCAACUCCGUGCCAGCAGCCGCGGUAAUACGGAGGGCGCGAGCGUUACCCGGAUUUACUGGGCGUAAAGGGCGUGUAGGCGGCCUGGGGCGUCCCAUGUGAAAGGCCACGGCUCAACCGUGGAGGAGCGUGGGAUACGCUCAGGCUAGAGGGUGGGAGAGGGUGGUGGAAUUCCCGGAGUAGCGGUGAAAUGCGCAGAUACCGGGAGGAACGCCGAUGGCGAAGGCAGCCACCUGGUCCACUUCUGACGCUGAGGAGCGAAAGCGUGGGGAGCAAACCGGAUUAGAUACCCCGGUAGUCCUG